Molecule: ribosomal RNA, 497 nt
Filed under: uncultured bacterium
Lineage: Bacteria
Description: partial 16S ribosomal RNA
Rfam family: Bacterial small subunit ribosomal RNA
Source: RNAcentral
GACGAACGCUGGCGGCGUGCCUAAUACAUGCAAGUAGAACGCUGAAGCGAGGAGCUUGCUCUUCUUGGAUGAGUUGCGAACGGGUGAGUAACGCGUAGGUAACCUGCCUUGUAGCGGGGGAUAACUAUUGGAAACGAUAGCUAAUACCGCAUAACAAUGGAUGACACAUGACAUUUAUUUGAAAGGGGCAAUUGCUCCACUACAAGAUGGACCUGCGUUGUAUUAGCUAGUAGGUGAGGUAAUGGCUCACCUAGGCGACGAUACAUAGCCGACCUGAGAGGGUGAUCGGCCACACUGGGACUGAGACACGGCCCAGACUCCUACGGGAGGCAGCAGUAGGGAAUCUUGGGCAAUGGGGGCAACCCUGACCGAGCAACGCCGCGUGAGUGAAGAAGGUUUUCGGAUCGUAAAGCUCUGUUGUAAGUCAAGAACGGGUGUGAGAGUGGAAAGUUCACACUGUGACGGUAGCUUACCAGAAAGGGACGGCUAACUACGUG